GACGAACGCUGGCGGCGUGCUUAACACAUGCCAGUCGAACGCUGAAGCUUGGUGCUUGCACUGGGUGGAUGAGUGGCGCACGGGUGAGUAAUACGUGAGUAACCUGCCCUUGACUCUGGGAUAAGCCUGGGAAACUGGGUCUAAUACUGGAUACGACAUGCCACUGCAUGGUGGUGUGUGGAAAGGGUUUUACUGGUUUUGGAUGGGCUCACGGCCUAUCAGCUUGUUGGUGGGGUAAUGGCCUACCAAGGCGACGACGGGUAGCCGGCCUGAGAGGGUGACCGGCCACACUGGGACUGAGACACGGCCCAGACUCCUACGGGAGGCAGCAGUGGGGAAUAUUGCACAAUGGGCGGAAGCCUGAUGCAGCGACGCCGCGUGAGGGAUGACGGCCUUCGGGUUGUAAACCUCUUUCAGCACGGAAGAAGCGAGAGUGACGGUACGUGCAGAAGAAGCGCCGGCUAACUACGUG
This 472-nucleotide ribosomal RNA is filed under the name uncultured bacterium. RNAcentral describes it as "partial 16S ribosomal RNA". It matches the Rfam family "Bacterial small subunit ribosomal RNA", at positions 28 to 507 of the family's 1533-position model. The record is from RNAcentral.